Molecule: ribosomal RNA, 314 nt
Filed under: uncultured Alphaproteobacteria bacterium
Lineage: Bacteria; Pseudomonadati; Pseudomonadota; Alphaproteobacteria
Description: bacterial SSU rRNA
Rfam family: Bacterial small subunit ribosomal RNA
Source: RNAcentral
UGGCUCAGAACGAACGCUGGCGGCAGGCCUCAAACAUGCAAGUCUAGGGGGUGUAGCAAUACAUCACCGGCGGACGGGUGCGUAACACGUGGGGAUAUACCUUUCGGUACGGAACAACUGAGGGAAACUUCAGCUAAUACCGUAUACGUCCUAACGGAGAAAGAUUUAUCGCCGAAGGAUUAGCCCGCGCUCGAUUAGCUAGUUGGUGAGGUAAUGGCUCACCAAGACAAAGAUCGAUAGCUGUUCUGAGAGGAAGAUCAGCCACACUUUUUUCUGAGACACGAGAAAGACUCCUACGGGAGUCAUCAGUGGGG